Phlebopus sp. FC_14 is the source of this 109-nucleotide non-coding RNA. The record is from the annotation of a GenBank genome assembly. Lineage: Eukaryota; Fungi; Basidiomycota; Agaricomycetes; Boletales; Boletinellaceae.
GGACAGAUGGCCGAGCGGUCUAAGGCGCCAGACUAAGGAGACCAGGCUAUUGGAUGGCCUACACUCAUCUGGUCUCUCUGAGGCGUGAGUUCGAAUCUCACUCUGUUCA